UGGGGUGUAGCCAAGCGGAAAGGCAGCGGCCUUUGGAGCCGCCAUUCGGAGGUUCGAAUCCUCCCACCCCAGCCA
RNAcentral lists this transfer RNA (75 nucleotides) under Candidatus Aminicenantota bacterium. RNAcentral's name for it is "Candidatus Aminicenantes bacterium tRNA-Gln". It matches the Rfam family "tRNA". From Rfam's summary of the family: Transfer RNA (tRNA) molecules are approximately 80 nucleotides in length. Their secondary structure includes four short double-helical elements and three loops (D, anti-codon, and T loops). Lineage: Bacteria; Candidatus Aminicenantota. RNAcentral also lists the same sequence under 2 other names. The record is from RNAcentral.